UCAGGAUGAACGCUAGCUACAGGCUUAACACAUGCAAGUCGAGGGGCAGCAUGUCGGUUGCUUGCAACCCGAUGAUGGCGACCGGCGCACGGGUGAGUAACGCGUAUCCAACCUACCCUUGUCCAUCGGAUAACCCGUCGAAAGGCGGCCUAACACGAUAUGCGGUUCACAGCAGGCAUCUAACGUGAACGAAAUGUGAAGGAGAAGGAUGGGGAUGCGUCUGAUUAGCUUGUUGGCGGGGUAACGGCCCACCAAGGCAACGAUCAGUAGGGGUUCUGAGAGGAAGGUCCCCCACACUGGUACUGAGACACGGACCAGACUCCUACGGGAGGCAGCAGUGAGGAAUAUUGGUCAAUGGGCGGAAGCCUGAACCAGCCAAGUAGCGUGCAGGACGACGGCCCUAUGGGUUGUAAACUGCUUUUAUGCGGGGAUAAAGUGGGCCACGCGUGGCCUUUUGCAGGUACCGCAUGAAUAAGGACCGGCUAAUUCCGUG
This 493-nucleotide ribosomal RNA is filed under the name uncultured bacterium. Its description in RNAcentral is "bacterial SSU rRNA". It matches the Rfam family "Bacterial small subunit ribosomal RNA", at positions 24 to 507 of the family's 1533-position model. The record is from RNAcentral.